CAAGACGGGGGCGUGUAUUUUGAGGAGGCGUGUCUUGUAAGGAGGGCGUGUAUUUAGUCGGCCCUGAUUGGUCUGAUUAACGACGGCGUCUGGCGUCACACAUAGCCUCGUGCAGAGCCAUAAUCUAUUCUAUUUGACAUUUGCGGAUCUCUUCUCUUGUCGAACCUACUCCGGAGAUGUAACGAACUGGUCAACAGCAGUUAGAUAGCAGAAAGAUGAUUGCCUCGAUUGAUUUGAUCCAUCCAACUGUCUGCAAACAUGAAUCUCUGAUGCAGCCAGUGCGGUUGGGAGAUUCUUACGGGUGCCAAGUUUGCAGAAAAUUUGGCGAUUACCCAGCCAUGGUUGCACAUGUUCAAACACAUGACAAAGCAGCCAUAUCUCACAAUGGCUACAAAAUCUAUAGGUGCCAACACAACUGUGCCAACACAAGAUCUCCACACUACCACUGUGUGUGCUCAACCAUUACUGGCAGCAAAACUUC
This is a long non-coding RNA of Gadus chalcogrammus (walleye pollock), 481 nucleotides long. RefSeq lists it as uncharacterized. The transcript has 3 exons. The record is from RefSeq and is a predicted model, not a curated record. Lineage: Eukaryota; Metazoa; Chordata; Actinopteri; Gadiformes; Gadidae.